This 382-nucleotide ribosomal RNA is filed under the name Escherichia coli. RNAcentral's name for it is "partial 23S ribosomal RNA". It matches the Rfam family "Bacterial large subunit ribosomal RNA", at positions 1513 to 1875 of the family's 2925-position model. The record is from RNAcentral. Lineage: Bacteria; Pseudomonadati; Pseudomonadota; Gammaproteobacteria; Enterobacterales; Enterobacteriaceae.
UAAGCGUGUAGGCUGGUUUUCCAGGCAAAUCCGGAAAAUCAAGGCUGAGGCGUGAUGACGAGGCACUACGGUGCUGAAGCGACAAAUGCCCUGCUUCCAGGAAAAGCCUCUAAGCAUCAGGUAACAUCAAAUCGUACCCCAAACCGACACAGGUGGUCAGGUAGAGAAUACCAAGGCGCUUGAGAGAACUCGGGUGAAGGAACUAGGCAAAAUGGUGCCGUAACUUCGGGAGAAGGCACGCUGAUAUGUAGGUGAAGCGACUUGCUCGUGGAGCUGAAAUCAGUCGAAGAUACCAGCUGGCUGCAACUGUUUAUUAAAAACACAGCACUGUGCAAACACGAAAGUGGACGUAUACGGUGUGACGCCUGCCCGGUGCCGGAAG